CAGUAGGGGCUGGCAAACUCCGGCCCUCCAGCUGUUGAGGAACUACAAAUCCCAUGAGGCAUCGCAAGAUUCUCACAUCCACAGACAUGAUUACCAGAGACAGAUACAUUUUAAAUUACCUGCAAAAG
Molecule: long non-coding RNA, 128 nt
Organism: Nanorana parkeri
Lineage: Eukaryota; Metazoa; Chordata; Amphibia; Anura; Dicroglossidae
Exons: 4
Source: RefSeq, a predicted model, not a curated record